GGGGAAUAUUGCACAAUGGGCGCAAGCCUGAUGCAGCGACGCCGCGUGAGGGAUGACGGCCUUCGGGUCGUAAACCUCUUUUAGUAGGGAAGAGGCCGUAAGGUGACGGUACCUGCAGAAGAAGCGCCGGCUAACUACGUGCCAGCAGCCGCGGUAAUACGUAGGGCGCAAGCGUUAUCCGGAAUUAUUGGGCGUAAAGAGCUCGUAGGCGGUUUGUCGCGUCUGCUGUGAAAGACCGGGGCUCAACUCCGGUUCUGCAGUGGGUACGGGGAGACUAGAGUGCAGUAGGGGAGACUGGAAUUCCUGGUGUAGCGGUGAAAUGCGCAGAUAUCAGGAGGAACACCGAUGGCGAAGGCAGGUCUCUGGGCUGUAACUGACGCUGAGGAGCGAAAGCAUGGGGAGCGAAC
RNAcentral lists this ribosomal RNA (407 nucleotides) under uncultured bacterium. Its description in RNAcentral is "bacterial SSU rRNA". It matches the Rfam family "Bacterial small subunit ribosomal RNA", at positions 356 to 773 of the family's 1533-position model. The record is from RNAcentral.